UCGAACGAUUAAAGCUCUCUUCGGAGAGUGCAUAAAGUGGCGCACGGGUGAGUAACACGUAAGUAAUCUACCUUCGAGGGGGGAAUAACAGUCGGAAACGGCUGCUAAUACCGCAUAAUGCAGCGGCACCUAAUGGUGACAGUUGUUAAAGGAGCAAUCCGCUUGAAGAGGAGCUUGCGGCAGAUUAGCUAGUUGGUAAGGUAAUGGCUUACCAAGGCUUCGAUCUGUAACCGGUCUAAGAGGACGGUCGGUCACACUGACACUGAAUAACGGGUCAGACUCCUACGGGAGGCAGCAGUCGGGAAUUUUGGGCAAUGGGCGAAAGCCUGACCCAGCAACGCCGCGUGAAGGAUGAAGUAUUUCGGUAUGUAAACUUCGAAAGAAUGGGAAGAAUAAAUGACGGUACCAUUUAUAAGGUCCGGCUAACUACGUGCCAGCAGCCGCGGUAAUACGUAGGGACCAAGCGUUGUUCGGAUUUACUGGGCGUAAAGGGCGCGUAGGCGGCAUUGUAAGUCACUUGUGAAAUCUCCGGGCUUAACCCGGAACGGCCAAGUGAUACUGCAGUGCUAGAGUGCGGAAGGGGCAAUCGGAAUUCUCGGUGUAGCGGUGAAAUGCGUGGAUAUCGAGAGGAACACCUGAGGUGAAGACGGGUUGCUGGGCUGACACUGACGCUGAGGCGCGAAAGCCAGGGGAGCAAACGGGAUUAGAUACCCCGGUAGUCCUGGCCCUAAACGAUGAAUACUUGGUGUCUGGAGUUAUUAGUGCUCCGGGUGCCGUCGCUAACGUUUUUAGUAUUCCGCCUGGGGAGUACGCUCGCAAGAGUGAAACUC
This 830-nucleotide ribosomal RNA is filed under the name uncultured bacterium. RNAcentral's name for it is "bacterial SSU rRNA". It matches the Rfam family "Bacterial small subunit ribosomal RNA", at positions 62 to 902 of the family's 1533-position model. The record is from RNAcentral.